Molecule: ribosomal RNA, 391 nt
Filed under: uncultured bacterium
Lineage: Bacteria
Description: bacterial SSU rRNA
Rfam family: Bacterial small subunit ribosomal RNA
Source: RNAcentral
GACGAACGCUGGCGGCGUGCUUAACACAUGCAAGUCGAGCGGUAAGGCCCUUUCGGGGGUACACGAGCGGCGAACGGGUGAGUAACACGUGGGUGACCUGCCCUUAGCUCUGGGAUAAGCCUGGGAAACUGGGUCUAAUACCGGAUAUGACUCCAUGACGCAUGUUGUGGGGUGGAAAGCCUUGUGCGGCUAGGGAUGGGCCCGCGGCCUAUCAGCUUGUUGGUGGGGUGAUGGCCUACCAAGGCGACGACGGGUAGCCGGCCUGAGAGGGCGACCGGCCACACUGGGACUGAGACACGGCCCAGACUCCUACGGGUGGCAGCAGUGGGGAAUCUUGCGCAAUGGGCGAAAGCCUGACGCAGCGACGCCGCGUGAGGGAUGACGGCCUCGG